RNAcentral lists this ribosomal RNA (253 nucleotides) under uncultured bacterium. Its description in RNAcentral is "partial 16S ribosomal RNA". It matches the Rfam family "Bacterial small subunit ribosomal RNA", at positions 524 to 776 of the family's 1533-position model. The record is from RNAcentral.
UACGAACCGUGCGAACGUUGUUCGGAAUCACUGGGCUUAAAGGGCGCGUAGGCGGGCAUUCAAGUCGGUGGUGAAAUCCUCCAGCUUAACUGGAGAAGAGCUGUCGAUACUGGAUGUCUCGAGGGGUGCAGGGGUCUGCGGAACUUCGGGUGGAGCGGUGAAAUGCGUAGAGAUCCGGAGGAACACCGGUGGCGAAGGCGGUUGCCUGGGGCUUUGCUGACGCUGAGGCGCGAAAGCGUGGGGAGCGAUCCGG